UUAGAGGAAGUAAAAGUCGUAACAAGGUUUCCGUAGGUGAACCUGCGGAAGGAUCAUUAUCGAAAUCUGCUGGGGAAGCAUCGAGGAGAGCGAAGGAACGGUGGACGUCUGGAUUCGAGGUUGUCGCUGGCCUUCGGGCAUGUGCACGCCUUCGUCUUUAGUCUCUGACUUGAUCUCUCUUUGGUGUGGACUCGAGUUUUCAUAUACACCCGUGCACCUCUUGUAGGUUUCCCUCGCGAGGGGGAAGACCUAUGUCUUUCAUAAACUCGUAUGUCUAUAGAAGGUCUAUGUUUAACGUCGUUCGCGGCGAUGAAUGUAAUCAUGAACAACUUUCAGCAACGGAUCUCUUGGCUCUCGCAUCGAUGAAGAACGCAGCGAAUUGCGAUAAGUAAUGUGAAUUGCAGAUUUUCAGUGAAUCAUCGAAUCUUUGAACGCACCUUGCGCUCCUUGGUAUUCCAUGGAGCAUGCCUGUUUGAGUGUCAUUGAAUUCUCAACCAUGUCUUGAUCGACUUGGCUUGGAUCUGGGGGUUGCUGGCUGCGCAAGCGAGUCGGCUCUCCUGAAAUGCAUUAGCAGAGGCGUAGUCCUUCGUGCACGGCCUUCGACGUGAUAACGAUCGUCGUGGCUGGAGCGAUGGGACGUCUUGGUCGCUGCUUCCAACUCUGAUCUGAUCCGUAGUGGAUCGCGUCUUUGAAACUUGACCUCAAAUCAAGGCAGGACUACCCGCUGAACUUAAGCAUAUCAAUA
Molecule: ribosomal RNA, 745 nt
Filed under: Chalciporus aff. amarellus G1892
Lineage: Eukaryota; Fungi; Basidiomycota; Agaricomycetes; Boletales; Boletaceae
Description: eukaryotic LSU rRNA
Rfam family: 5.8S ribosomal RNA (bases 328-482)
Source: RNAcentral